Molecule: ribosomal RNA, 482 nt
Filed under: uncultured bacterium
Lineage: Bacteria
Description: partial 16S ribosomal RNA
Rfam family: Bacterial small subunit ribosomal RNA
Source: RNAcentral
AUUGAACGCUGGCGGCAUGCUUUACACAUGCAAGUCGAACGGUAACAGGCCGCAAGGUGCUGACGAGUGGCGAACGGGUGAGUAAUGCAUCGGAACGUGCCCAGUCGUGGGGGAUAACUACUCGAAAGAGUAGCUAAUACCGCAUACGAUCUAUGGAUGAAAGCGGGGGACCGUAAGGCCUCGCGCGAUUGGAGCGGCCGAUGUCAGAUUAGGUAGUUGGUGGGGUAAAGGCUCACCAAGCCAACGAUCUGUAGCUGGUCUGGGAGGACGACCAGCCACACUGGGACUGAGGAACGGCCCAGACUCCUACGGGAGGCAGGCGUGGGGAAUUUUGGACAAUGGGCGCAAGCCUGAUCCAGCAAUGCCGCGUGCAGGAAGAAGGCCUUCGGGUUGUAAACUGCUUUUGUACGGAACGAAACGGCUCUGGUUAAUACCCGGGGCUAAUGACGGUACCGUAAGAAUAAGCACCGGCUAACUACGUG